CUCAUUUAUGGGAAAAAUUCUUCAUCCAAAAAUAGACCCUUCUUGCUCAAGUUAGAGCCUGAGGCUUAAGGCAUUAGCAGCCUGGAACCAUAACAAUACAAAUAUUUGAGAAGCCCAAAUGGGGCUGAAUGGCAUUUGUGCACUAUGCUGUCAUUGUUUUGUUAUUGCCAGUUCAAUAACCCUCAUGGGAUUGCUUUCUCAGGACUUUUUUCCUGCACAUUAACUGCAUAAACAAGAAGAAUAUGUGCCAUCUGUUGGCACUCAAAUUAAGUAUGAAAAUAUUUCUCUCUCUCUCUUUUUUUUUUUUUUUUUGAGUCCCCAGCAUAAGAAAGACAUGGACCUGUUAGAGUGAGACCAGAGGAUGGCCACAAAGAUGAGAGGCUGGAGCACCUCCCCUAUGAAGACAGGCUGAGGGAGUUGGGGUUGUACAGCAUAGAGAAGAGAAGGCUCCGGAGAGAGCUUACAGCAGCCAUCCAGUACCUAAAGGAGGUUACAGAAAAGCUGGGAAGGAACUCUUUGUCAGGGUGUGUAGUGAUAGGACAAGGGGUGAUGGCUUUAAACUAAGAGAAGGUAGGUUUAGAUUAGGCACUGGGAAGACAUUCUUUAGCAUGAGGAUGGUGAGACACUGGAACAAUCUGCCCAAAGAAGCUAUGGUGCCCCAUCCCUAGAGGUGUUCAAGGCCAGGCUGGAUGAGGCUUUGGGCAAUGUGGUCUGGUGGGAGAUGUCCCUGCCCAUGGCAGGGGAGGGUUGUAACUGGGUGAUCUUUAAAGUCCCUUCCAACCUAAAACAUUUUGUGAUUCUGUGAUUCUAAGAGGGGGAAAAAAAAUAUCUUUGUGGCUUGCAAAAUAUGUGAAGUGAAAUGGUCAUUUAUAUGGUAAGAAAUGCUUUUUUUUUUUUUUUGUAUGAACUUCUCAGGCAGCCAGUGGCAGUCCACACCUUGCCCUGCCCAGAAGGAACCAGCCAUGGUCCAAGACUGUCAGUCACAAUGCUUCUUCCUCUUGAGAUUCACACCAUGAAUUGUUCCUGCAGGCAUUUUGGCCAAGUCAGCUGGAUGGUACUCAACACCCCUCUACUUCUGCCUUCUCACAGGAACACCAGAAAGCUGGACCAGGACAAAUUGAGCCUGGCUGUUGGCUGCAAGAUGGGCCCAAAAUGUUAACAUUCUCCUUCCUGCCUGAUCACUUACCUGCCACAAGCCCAUAAACAUCUGACCUUACCUCAGGUAUGCUCUUCUAACCCUACAUAUAUAGUGGGGAUAAUGGUGUUUUUUCAGAGCACUGUGAAAUCUCCUGGUGAUAGUGGUAUAAUAAGAGACAUGAUAAAAAUACCAUAUAUAAAAUAGUAACUGUAGUGGUGGCAAUGCACUCAAGUUUUAAAAACUCAAGUUUUAAAAAUCUAGGCCUCUUUUGAGUAAACCAAUGGGAAUUUCAUAGGUAACUCUGACAGUUUUGGUCCAAAACAUGCCACAGGAAAUUGACAGGAUGUCUGCAUGUAAGACAGAUAGAAGUUAGAUAAAAUACGGCUCUAAAUCAGCGGCAGAUUUCAGCAGAAUUCCUUACUCAGGUAGGUAGUGACUGCAUGUGAAGUGCCACUUGCAGGCCAGUUGGUAAUCCACGGGCACUUCUGGCAGGUGUAAAACAAAAAACAAACAAACAAAAAAAGGCAACAAAAUACCAAGAAAAUGCUACAUUUUGGCAAGCGCCCUCUGCUGUCACUGUCAAAUGAUUUUGUUCAUGGUGCACUGAGUUUUCUAGCUUUUCUGUAGCAUAGGUGUCCUUAAUUGCAUUGUCUAACAGAGUAUUACAGGAAAUGUUUCUGUCUGAAAUACACCAUAUUUGUAAACCUGACUGAAAGCAGAACUGAAAGCCACUGUAAAAAAAAAAAGAGAUUAAAAAAUACAGAUUGUGUUUUAUGGUCUUGGUGUCUCUCCAGUCCCACAACUGAAUCUGUUCAUACAGACAGCAGCAGGCACAUGCAAAGCCAUUACCCUCAGUUUGUGCACAGAUGCAGGAGUCUGCUCCUAUGGUUUAGAGAGAAUCUGGGGGUUUGUCUUGACUUUGUUUGUAAAAGAAUGUUUUUUAAACUAUGAAACCAUAAGAAUUGCCAGUGUCAACAAAACCUAACUAGCAAAGAGCCUGAACAACCAAGUCGGUCUCAAG
This 2159-nucleotide long non-coding RNA is filed under the name Anas platyrhynchos platyrhynchos (common mallard). Its description in RNAcentral is "lncRNA (ENSAPLG00000028127.1)". The record is from RNAcentral. Lineage: Eukaryota; Metazoa; Chordata; Aves; Anseriformes; Anatidae.